AUAUAUCUGUGUACCACAUGCAUGCAGUGUCUGUGGAGGCCAGAAGUGGGUAUCGGAGCCCCUGGAACUGGAUUUAUAGACAGUUGUAAACCUUUGUGUGGGCGCAGGGAAUUAAACACCAUCUUCUGGAAGAGCAGCCAGUGCUUUUAGCGGCUAAGCCAUCUCUCUAGUCUCAGUCGGGACAUUUUAAAAUAUUCAUUGUCUACUUCUAACUUCACAAGGAGGCAGCAUAAGAGGCAACAAUGCUGUUUCACAGGUAACAAGACUGAGACUUGAAAGGCUGAAGAGUGGCAGGAGUCAUUUCUGCUGUCAAAGAACCUGCAGCUGAUGGAUCCUGCCUUGAGUGGCCAAGAGGAUGCAGCUCCCUCACCUGCUUCAUUAUAAACCAGCACAGGAAUCUCAGGAGGCUCCUGGAGGCCAGCACACGAGCAACAGAAGCUGAAUAGCCACUGGCGCAGAGCUAUAGAUGCCCAAGGACUCUUUUCUGCUAUGGCCACAGAAGUGGGCUCUGAAAACAGGAAACCGGGCUCCUGAGUGUUGACUUGGAGAUAGAGCAGAGGGGAGAUGAAGACACCGGAGGCCAACUAGAAACAGCCAUUGGGAAGCCUCAGAGGGAAAGGGAUGGUGGUGGGGAAGAUGGGCAGGGUGUGAAGUCCAGAGAAAGGAAAAGGCAGAGAAAAGGCAGCCCCUUGGUGGUGGGGUCUGUAGCAACCAAUCCUGGGUCAUAGCGAGGGAAGGCCAAAUCCAAGAUGUCUGAGGUGCUUCUGGGAAAAGAUGUAUGGUGAUAGUAUAUGUCUAUGUAAGAAUAGAAUCCUGUCUGUACAGGCAUGUGCACACACACACACACACACACACACACACACACACACACACACACAGCCCUGUAUCAGCAAUCAUUGCAUUCCAGUCACCCAAAUCCAGCCCACUUUGCAAAAUGCGUUCUCAUGACUUGCCUGCACAUUCUUCUCCACUGAACCCUGCUCAUUUCUAUAUGCUUCCUGCAGCUGAGACUCUUUCUUCCCCGCUCUCUUUUAAAGCAACUGUACAAACACCUGCAUUUUAUUAAUGCUGCCUGGAGCCGGGGCUGGGCUGGGCCCCCUCUGCUCUCACCCCCACACCAUGCUCAGUGAAGCAAAACGCAAGGGUUAACCCUGUGUGGCUGGGUUUCUGUCCCCGAGAAGUGAAUCCCCAAGAGUUCAGAAAAAAACGUCAAAACUAUGAAAGAGUGAGAGUCCACAGAAGUUAUUUAGGCUUUCUGUUAGCCCAGGAACCCCAUUUCCCUUGUCUUAGCUUUUGGCCUAUUUCUCUGAUCAUUGUGCCCCGUGUCUCUUGACAGAAGACAGGGACAUCAUCCUUUCUUGAAAUUCAGGCAUCCUCUUUAGAGACAGUUCUCCAGCCUGGCCCUUUAACGGUCUACUGCAUUGUUCUGUCUUUAGAGGCCAAAUGGGACUAAACAAUCCCAGAAAGAAAAAAAAAAAAAGAAAAAGAAAAGCUGCUUUCCUCUUUAAAAUAUUUUUAAGUAAGGAAAGCAUGAAGAAUAUAAAAAUGUUCCAUAAUCCUAUUACCCAGAUAUGCUGGUAGGGACUAACAUUUCUUUCAAUUCAGUACAGGCAUCUCUUUUUUAAAAGAAGCAAAGGGGACAGGACAGGUGACCCAGUGGGCAGCAAUCAUGAGGACUUCAGUUCAGAGCCACACACAGCAUCUGAGUGUGAUGGUAUAUGCUGGCAACCCUAGCAUUAAGGAGGGGAGACAGUCAGACCAGAGUGGGGUCCCUAGCCAACCAGUUUAGCAGAAACAGCAGGCUCCACGGUCAGUGAGAAAAACCCAUCCCAAGAAAUAAGGUAGAGAGAGACUGAGGGAGACAUUUCAACAUCAACCCGUGGCUUCCACAUGUACCCAUAUGGGCAAGUGUGUUUGCAUUCAUAUGUGCACCAUCCCCCAGCUCUUGUGCAUGUGUGUGUAUGCACACACAUGUACACACACCCCCACCCCCAUCAUUAAAGGUAGUUUAUGAAUUCUGUUCAGUGUGUCAUUCUCCCCAGCAUAGAUCCCCUCCCCUCUGUUUUUUGAGACAAGGUCUCUCUAUUAUGUAACUCUGACUGUCAUGAAACUCACUGUGUAGACCCAGCUGGCCUUGAACCCACAGAGAUCUGCCUAUGCCUCCUGAGUGCUAGGAUUAAAGGCACGUGCCACUAGGCCCAGCACAGUUGGGUCUCUUAAAGACAGUGACUGUUUACAGUUUCUUGUAUGUAAUCCCAGAGAAAUGACUUGCUUAUACUUUAAAAACAAGCCCAGAAUCCCUGCCACUUCAGCACGAGACGACUCAGUCAUCUUUUGGAUAGCUUUGGAUGAGUCUCUAGGGUAGUUGUGUCAUCGUUUAUUUAACCAAUGGGCAUAAGGGUAGCUUGUGGUUUGUUAUUUCUUCUUCUUUUUUAUUUUAAAGAUUUAGUUUUAGCCAGACAUGGUGAUACACACCUUUUAUUCCAGAGCUCAGGAGGCUGGGGCAGACGGAUCUCUGUGAGAUCAAGGACAGCCUUGCUUAUGUAACAAGUUCCAAACAAUCAACCAACUAACCAACCAACCAACUAACCAACCAACCAACCAACCAACCAACCAACCAACCAACCAAAACAAUUACCUUUUAAAUGGCUGUACUCUGGACCUCGAUAAGAGUGGUAUGUACUCUUAACUCCUAAGCCUUCUCUCUCGGCUCCACUCCGAUUUCAUCUCUCUGAUACUUGGUUGGACUUAUCUGCUCCUGUAGGCAGCCCAUUCGCUGCUCCACAUCUUCUGCAGUCCUUUUUAUCAAUACCACUGAACUUGGACUUUUUAGGCGUUUGUUCUACAUAUUAAUCAUUUUGAGAUGGUCCCAUGUAUUGCAGGCUGGGCCUCAAACUCACUGUGUAGCUGAGGAAAACAUUGGACUGUUUGUUGAUCCUCUUGUCUCUAACUCAGGACUAUAGUCAUUCACCAUCAUGCCCAGUUUAUGGAGUGCUGGGAAUUGAACUCUCGGCAAACAAUUGUUCACAAGGCAAACACUCUGUCAGCUGAGCUACAUCCCCAACCCCAACUGCUCCAGAUUGUAGAUCUUAAAAAAAAAAUGUUUUUCUUAAGACAGGAUCUCACUUGCUAUAUAGUCUAGCGCUGACCUUGAACUCACAGAUCUACCUGCCUUGGUCUCUGCAGUGCUUGGAUUAAAGGUGUGUGAACGGUAUCAUGUUCAGCCUCCACAUUUGAUCUCGAUGUGAGGAGACUGCCAACUUUUCUUCAUAGGGAGUACUUUUAAAUCUUGUUUUCUUGUGCAGUUUGACUUCUGGGUGUACCACCCCCCCCAGUACUGAAAGCAGAGGAGGAGCUCUGUAUAGUCCUGCUCUUGGCAGCAUUGUUCUGAGUAACUGAGAGGCAGAAACAACCUAAGUGUCUGUCAGCAGAAGGCUGGAUUACUGAAGCAUGAUACACACACACAGGAUGGUAUCCAGCCUUAAAGAGGAGAGAGCAUCACCUUGAGGGGAUACUAAAUGAAAAACAAAACAAAACAAAACAUCAGUCACAAAGGGACAGCAGCACUGGACUGUACUUACAUAAGACUCUCAGAGUGGUCAAAAUCAUCCAGACAAAGGACAAAAUGCUGGUUGCUGGGGCAGGGAAGCUCUGGGGGCACCGGGGAGCAGGGGACGGACUGCAGAGCAUUUUAUGCACACAGUUUCAGUUUGGGAAGACAAAGACAUUCUGGAGAUGGACCGGGGUGAUGGUGUGGAACACACCAUGGAUGUCAUUUAAUGCCACCAAACUGUGUACUUUAAAAUGCUCAAAAUGGCACAUUCUAUGUUGUAUGUAUUUUGCCCCCAAUAAAAUUGUUCUUUUUCUUCUU
Molecule: long non-coding RNA, 3871 nt
Filed under: Mus musculus (house mouse)
Lineage: Eukaryota; Metazoa; Chordata; Mammalia; Rodentia; Muridae
Description: predicted gene, 36660
Source: RNAcentral